Molecule: long non-coding RNA, 4329 nt
Filed under: Marmota monax (woodchuck)
Lineage: Eukaryota; Metazoa; Chordata; Mammalia; Rodentia; Sciuridae
Source: RNAcentral
GUAGAGUCCAAUUGUGAUAAGUGCUCUCCCUGUUUGCAGAUAGCAGCAAUGACUGAGGGCACCUACAUCAGCUCCUGAGCAACCCACCCGGAACCAACUGAACAGAGGACAGCACAGUGGGGUCUUUCUCACUUUGCAACCGAAAGAGCUGGAACAAAGGACAGAGAAGCCAAAGAAACAGCAUGAAACCCAAAGCUGUCACAGAAACCCUGGAGCAUUGUCCAAGGAAUUACGACGACGUUGUGCCAACGGCUAUUGUGAAAAGAGAACACUGGAUCCCACUGGAUCCCAGCAUACCUGGAUGUCACUCUUCAUGGGACUUGGACCAUCUUUACCUACCUUUGAGCAUCUAGUCCUGUUUCAGCUGUGGGAGUUCUGGUUGACCUUCCCUCUGAGGGAAUGUUCACUCUGUCUCCCUUGAAGGUCUGGAUUCAAAGGUCUUAACUGAAACUGGGUCACUUAGGCUAGAAGCAUCUCUCGACAUGGCUGUUUCUCAGAAGUGGUCAAGUUCAUGGCACACCUAUUUCCUUUGCCACCUGGGGUUCAUUUCUGACAGAUGCUCCCUGGCCUGGUCAGCAUGUCUCCCGGAUGUCUCUUUCUCCCCUCUGUUGCCCAUUCCACAUGAUACUUGCUCAGUGGUGACACUGUCCUCUCCUGAUGCUUUGAUUGGAUGUGGGGGAGAAAGUAUGGUUUGCUGGCCCUGGGGUCUUGGGGUCUUGGAGGCUAUGGAGCAUGGACAGAAGGUAACCGUGAAGGAGGCCAGCCCUGAUGGCCCGUUGUACUCUCAUGACUCUUACCCUUGCCUUCUGUGUCUGUCCUAAUCCAGGAUAGUUGUGCUUUUCUUUUUCCAAUUAAACAUAAUUACUCUUCAUUAUCACAAAGCAGCUCAUGCUUAUCAUAAAAACAUCAGAAAUAUAGAAAAAUAGAAGAAAAAACUACCCCAAUCCUACUUACCUCAAAGACAACUAUUGAGUCAUUGUAGGUAUAGAGUAUUAUAUAUAUAUUAUGUGUAUGAAUAUAUGAAUAAUGUAAUGUCACAAUAUCACUUGUAGUCUUCGAUAACACAUAUUGAUUGUCAUUUAGUGUCUUAUCUUGAACUGCUCUCUACAGUAACAAGCUCAGCUCUGCAGCAAUUAUAAUGUGAGCGUACUCAAUUAUAUAGAUGCACUAUCAUUUAUUUACCUAAUUUCCUAUGGGUUUUUGUUUAGCUUGUUUCCGACUUUCUCUGUUUUAAGAAGCAUUAAUGAACUUGUUUUUAGUUUAAUCUUCCUAUAGUUAUUUCCUUAAGGUACAUCCCCAGAAGGGGAUCAAAGGACAGUCAGCAAAGAUUAUAAAUACUCCCAAUCCCACCACUAAGUGCUCAGAACCCAAAAGCCAUAGAGGCAGGGCCAGGGGGUGAUCACACACGCCCUUUCUUAGAUCCUUUUAUACACUCACUUGGACAGUUCGGGCUUCCUUUGUCUCCCCUUUGGCUGGAGGACACCCACCACUGACAGCUGAGUGAAGUAGGUCUUGAGUGAGGGAGAGGGUUGGUCCCUUGAGCUCAGUAUUCGGUGUACCUUACAAUUCCUUCUUGGGUGCUGAGCAAUGGUCCUGAAUUCAUUCCUUCCCCGUUAGGGAGCAGCCACUAUUUGAAAGUGGUAGGGUAGAGGCUGAGGCAACAAAGAUGAGUUCACCAGGACUUUACCCUCUCCUCCAACACAGCGUGGAGGAGGCAGUGAGGUAGAUAGCACACAAGUGUUUGGAGAGAAAAUAUCAGAUCAGAAAUACAUCUCAGGGCAGAAAAUGGGGAGCCAUUUGGAAGUCCCAGAGAAGAUGUAUGAAAAUCACAUAAUCUUCUGGCCCCUCAUCACAGGUGACAUCUUUGGUGUGUCCUUUUAGUCCAUGAGACCUGCUGCCUGUGGCUACCCUCGCCAGACUCAGCCUUCUUAAUUGUAUUGCCUGUGUCUUUUCUUUGCACCUCUAACAACCUGGACCAUCUUAACAACUUAUUCUGAAAUCUGUUCAAUGCAAAAUCCAAAUGGGAGUAAACAAAAUUAAAGGUAAAGGGAUUCAUGAGUUGAAACAGUGACUCCAUGUUUUAUGUAUGGAGGAGAAUUUGCAUUAAUUCAUAUCCUUCUGCCUGAUGGAAACUUUUCUCAGAUAUUUCAUUAUAGAAGUAGCAGUCACAUUUCAGAAAACUUGGGGGCUAGAGAAAAAGAGAACUGUCACCCUAUCUCAGGGCUGGUAGCUUCUAAUGACCUUCACCUUGAAAAUUUGGUAGUAAGAUGAUGUUGAGGACAAGAGCUAAGGAAUAUUUGGGUUUUGUCUUUAGUUUUAAUUAAAAUGUUUGAUAGUUAACUACAUUCCCAUAGUUCCAAAUUCAAAUAGUACAAAAGCAUAUAAACUAGAAAGUCCAUCUAGUUCCCUGGAGACCAAAUGCUAUUUUUCCUGUGUGCCCUUCUAGAGUUCUUGGUACAUAUAAAACCAUAUGAAUUUUUAAUGGGGGGCUUGGAAAUAUUAUUACCAAAUGUUCUAAGUUUAGCCUAAACUGUCCUUGUCAAUUCUAAUAGCAGGCCUGAAUGCAGGUAGAGACGAAGAGAGAAAAGUGUGUGUGUGUGUGUGUGUGUGUGUGUGUGUGUGGAGUAGGUGAUUGUUGCUGAGGGCGAGGGUGAAGGAAAGAGCAAUCUUUUGUUCACUUGUCCAGCUAGUAUUUAGGGAGCACCUAUCAUGUUUCAAAUGCUAUCCUGCACUCAAGUGAUACAGGAGUGAUUCAAAACCUGUCCUUAGGAGAGUAUUUAAAAGUAGAAGGUGGUAGGCAAUAAAUAUAAUUGAUAAGGAAAUUAUAGAGUCUAUUAGAAUUUGAUAAGUGCUAUGGAAUAAAAUGAAGUAGGAUGUAGGAGUUGGGAAGUGAGAGAGCAAUUUUAAAGUGAUAAACCGGGGAGGGCUUUAUUGAGAAGGAGGAACAUGAACAUAAACUUGAAAAGGGUGAUGGGGUGAGCUCUGUAGAUGUCCAGAGGAAGUGUACCCCUGGAGGGAAGAAGGCCCCGUGGCAGAAAUUUGAGCCCCAGAGGUUCCCUACAGCCUCUUCCUCUAUCUCCAGGCUGCUCCUGGUGACCCUGCACCACGGCUGGCUGCAGCUGAGGUCAGACUGGUGUGAUCUGUUCACGGUGCUGAGAUUACCUGAUACUUGAUGUUUGCUUUUCUUUCUUUAAACUUCUAUCCUGAUGCUUGAUUUUACUCUAAGGAAAUUCUCUGUUUUGGAUGUUCAUUUGGUCUGCAUAGGGAAGAAGAGGGCAGCAUUAUUAUAGUAGGUGGACAAGACUGAGUCUUGGGGGUCCUGGAUUCUAAACCAUUCCUAUGGCCUCUUUUCUACUCAGCCUUUCUGGUCCUCAGUUUCUUCAUUGAGAAAGUGAAGGGGAUAUACUUAGAUGGCUUCAGGGCUGCCUCCAACAUGGUGGGUGUCAAGCUCUGUGACCAUGUGAAGAGUUAAGGUAGGAGGUGGCAUUGGGUGGCAGCUAGCAGUGCUAGAGGGAGGCAGAGGGACUUCUAGGAGCCGAGGACUAUGCGUGGCAUGUAGUGCCACCUGGUUUUCCCUCUUGGAUUCCACGAGCUCAGCUUCAUCCAGAAAAUAGAAUCUUCCAUCUGAGGAAGCCCAGAGUUCUCCAUGUGAGCAGAGGAGACAUGGGUUCACUGUUAAUCCAUUCCUUUCUCCUCAUUGCUUUUAGUGUCUGUCCCCUUUCAACCCUGAAAAGCUUGGCUUUCUCUGUACCCCUUGGCUGAGCUCAUUCUCUGUCUGCAGCAGAGGUGGCCGUGGUGGGGCUGGGACUCCUUCUUUUGUCCCUCUGGCCCCAGAGGUCCCCCCUCCUGCACCCCACCUUUGCUGUCUUCAAUUUGGACGCCAGAUUCUUCAUCUGCUUGGUGACUUUGGUGGUGUGGGGGAGAGGGAGCAUGUCAUUGGCAUUACCCUUGUUCCAUGUGGAGAAAAAUCACUGUGAAUUUAAAACUGAGAUGUGUGUAAAAGGUUGUGGGGGCAGAGCUGGGCCUUGGGAAGUUUCAUUCAGGAGAAUUCAGCAUGAAUAGAAGCCUUGCCUCUUCCUCUCUCAAAGCUGAGUCACCUUGGUUGUAGUGACUCUUGCUGACUCCUCAGCAUUUCCUUGUAUUCUUGUCCCCCCUCCCCCCAGGCUGCCCAUCUGUGGCCUUCUUUGCUGCUGUUAAAAAGGCCACAGAAGACUGGCUUCUGAAAUUGGGCUUCUCUUCCCCUGUUGCAGUAGAGGGGACAUUGUGUUCCCUCAGCCUUGUGGGGGAAAUUUACGUGCCACACACCUUCCACUGGCGAGGGAUCCCGAG